AGCUCAGUUAGUAAAGAAUCUGCCUGCAAUGCAGAAGACCCAGGUUCAAUUCCUGG
RNAcentral lists this transfer RNA (56 nucleotides) under Bos taurus (domestic cattle). It matches the Rfam family "tRNA", at positions 9 to 63 of the family's 71-position model. Rfam says of the family: Transfer RNA (tRNA) molecules are approximately 80 nucleotides in length. Their secondary structure includes four short double-helical elements and three loops (D, anti-codon, and T loops). The record is from Rfam by way of RNAcentral. RNAcentral also lists the same sequence under 5 other names. Lineage: Eukaryota; Metazoa; Chordata; Mammalia; Artiodactyla; Bovidae.